Molecule: transfer RNA, 74 nt
Filed under: Acidimicrobiia bacterium
Lineage: Bacteria; Bacillati; Actinomycetota; Acidimicrobiia
Description: tRNA-Ala
Rfam family: tRNA
About the family: Transfer RNA (tRNA) molecules are approximately 80 nucleotides in length. Their secondary structure includes four short double-helical elements and three loops (D, anti-codon, and T loops).
Source: RNAcentral
GGGGCUGUAGCUCAGCUGGCUAGAGCGCCUCGUUCGCAACGAGGAGGUCGGCGGUUCGAGUCCGCUCAGCUCCA